Long non-coding RNA from Cyprinus carpio (common carp), 384 nucleotides. RefSeq lists it as uncharacterized. The transcript has 2 exons. Lineage: Eukaryota; Metazoa; Chordata; Actinopteri; Cypriniformes; Cyprinidae. The record is from RefSeq and is a predicted model, not a curated record.
GCAGUGCUGGAAGGAGAAACCUUACGAGAGACCUUCAUUCGCUCAGAUCUUGAGGUCACUCAAUCGUAUGCUGGAAGAGAGGAAGACGUACGUCAACACGACGCUCUAUGAGAAGUUCACAUACGCUGGCAUUGACUGUUCUGCAGAGGAAGCCGGCUGACACUUCGCUGUUGACAAAUUUCAGUUGACGAACGGUUAAUUAGAUCCUCUGAGCAGGAUUCACAGUUUUACACACGUUGUGUUUCAUUACAUGGCUACCAGAUCAUAUUUUUAUGUUGUGAAGUGGUUAUUGGUGUAUGACAUGAUGAAUGCAGAUACUGACAGAUAUGUGACGUUUGUAGAUUUCAUUGUUUUUAAUAAAAAGCCUGUCGUUUGAUACUGCGA